CCCACUUUGAGAAAAAAUAUGAACAGAAAGCUACACUGGCAUGGACAAGGCAAGAAAGAUGCCUAGGGACAAGAUGGGCAGGCCAGCCACUCCCUCUCUCCAGGCUGCACUAUUGAUAGAGGCUUUCUCUGGUCUACCACCCUCUUCUAAGUACCCCACAGAGGCAGCCUCAGGAGAACCAGUUUCCAUGCCCCAUCACCUUGGAGGAACCAUCUCCUUAGAUUUCAGGCUACUGGGUUGACCUGAAAUGUGAUUCUUCUGACAAGUUCAAGGAAAGUGGCAAGGCAAAGGACAGAUGACUGAAAU
Long non-coding RNA from Eptesicus fuscus (big brown bat), 306 nucleotides. RefSeq lists it as uncharacterized. The record is from RefSeq and is a predicted model, not a curated record. The transcript has 4 exons. NCBI's taxonomy places the organism in Eukaryota, Metazoa, Chordata, Mammalia, Chiroptera, Vespertilionidae.